Molecule: unclassified non-coding RNA, 1659 nt
Filed under: Leishmania donovani
Lineage: Eukaryota; Euglenozoa; Kinetoplastea; Trypanosomatida; Trypanosomatidae
Description: gene:LdHU3.09.0850(CDS-product:Methyltransferase_ TYW3_putative)
Source: RNAcentral
GAGAUACUCUCGCGGCGUCGUACGCAGGCGGGCAGGUGCCGUUUGUCCAUCGUCUCUUGUCAUGUCUGACACCGCGCCUGGUUCAGCGCCCGCGCCGGUCACGGCUACUGUUGAUGCGCCCCCAUUGUCGGCCCCAACGAAGGUGAAGCCGCCGCGCAAGAAGCCACCGAGGACGGAAGAAGCCAAGCCCCGGCUGCUCGCUCCGGCAAACGGCGUCUCCGCACAGCAGCAGAAGCAGCGGGACAAGGAGUUUGCCACGCACAAGGCGCACAUUCUGGCCAAUCUGCAGACAAACGUGUGUGACCUGAGCCCCAAGGGAAGCGUAGAUGCGAAGUGUCUCCCUGUGAUGGAUGUGCUCAACACGCACAAGGACUACGUCACCACGAGCAGCUGCAGCGGACGCAUUGCCCUCUUCCACAGCAUCAAACACAGCGAGGCUUGUGGGGCCGACGACGGGACGGCAACGCCGAGGCCGCGCAUGAAGCGUGGCGAAAACGCGGCGCUUGGCUGGGUAUUCGUGAAGCACGGCAUGCUGCGCCCGAUGGAGAUGGCGCAGGUGGUGGGUUUCCUCUGCGGGGCACCCACCACCCCGGAGGACGUAGCGCUGGAUGCGGCGCAGUUGGAGAAGCACGCGGCUCACAUGGCCUCUGUGAGCGGCAGCGCCCACUGCCACGGCGCCACCCCUGGUUCCUUGCUUGCUGAGAUGUAUGAUGGCGAAGUGGAGGGAGUGCUGGUGGCGGCGAGAAUGAGCGGAGACGAGGUUGCGGCACUGCCCGUUCCUACGCGCGGUACCGUGUCGCUCAAGAUGGAGCCGUUUGUGAUGCACGUUCGGUGCCGCACAAUGGAGGCUGCAAAGCUGCUGCACUCGGCGGCCGUUAGCGACAGCGGGUACCGCAACAGCGGCGUUGUCCCGCCUGGCAAAAAGAUCAUGUGCGGCAUCCGCGGUGCUGCUGGACUGGGACUGGAGGUGCCUGUCGUCCUUGACGGUGUCAACCACGUGGCGUCUCAGCGGGCAUACGUUUGGGCGCUGCUGGGACUCGCGAAUGAAAAGAUGGAGGCGAACGAGAAGAAGAUAAGGCUGCUGGAGAAGUCCGUGGCGGCGCGCGUCUUGCCGGCGUGAUGGCCACGCUCAGCCCCUAAAUCGCGCAACGAAAGCUAACAACGUGUGGACGUAUCUGAGUAGCCCAGUGUUCUAGUCAACGCGCGGGCGCACAAGUACCUGCCGUGAGCAGGCCAUCUCAUUCCUACCUCCCGCCCCACUAAGACACGCGCAAAAAAGGAGGCAAGAAAGAGACAGGGCACAAGCGGUGCGCGGCUCUCCGGCAGCAGCGGGGGGGGGGGGGGUACAGCUGUCCCGCUACGACUGCCGAAGCAGCCCCGAUCAUCCCUCCCCACCCCCACCCCUCCCUACCCCUUUUGUCCUCUCCCGUGCACCGCGGGCGAUCACGUACGCCGCCUUGGGAACGAUCCCGCUACGCACGCCCCGCAGUGUGUCUGUGUGUGUGUGUGUGUGUGUCUUUCCCUCUCUCCUUCCCUCUGUGUGCCUCCACCACCACUACCGUCAUCUCUCCUCCUCCUCUGUCUUCUUGUGGACGUACCGUGCGCACGUGGCGACGUCAAUCGGUGACGAUCGCCGUUUUACUGCGCCUACGCGAGAAG